RNAcentral lists this long non-coding RNA (40383 nucleotides) under Physcomitrium patens. RNAcentral describes it as "long non-coding RNA (PPAT_LNC013859)". The record is from RNAcentral. Lineage: Eukaryota; Viridiplantae; Streptophyta; Bryopsida; Funariales; Funariaceae.
GAAUAUUUCAAGGUAUUUAAGAUGUUAUGUUCGUGAAAUGGAAUUAAAUCGGGUUUCUGAGAAGAAAAUGGUUGCACUAUUUGGACUUGCCACGAUACCGAAGAUAAGGGACCACAUUACAUCGAUUACGGAUCGUUGUGGGAAUUCAUGGGAGGAUUUUUCACAUGCAUUGAAAGACGAAUAUUUCUUGGAAGAUGCUGAUCGUGUUACUAAGAAGCUGUUUCUGGGAUGGAUUGAACGGCCCAAUAAGAAUUUGCAAGCAACAGAGCUACUAAGGGAAUUUGAGAGGCAGUACUCUCAAUUAUCGAAGGUAGAAAAAUUGACAUUGGAAACGAACAAAGUUGAUCUAUUUCUUCAAGCUGCUGAUGGAGAAUUGCAAGAGAAAUUAGAACCCCUUCUUGAAGACAAAGAAGAAGAUGAAGGAUUGACAACGAAGUGGAAGAACGUUGAAGAUGCGGUGGGGUUGCUUACAAAAAAAGAAAGGAGGAAGGAUAGGAGUAAUAUUCCGAAACAAGUACAAGCACCCAAAGCUCUAGUACGUACUACACCACCGACAAUGCCUACAGUUCAACCUUCGACAUCCUUGUCAAAGAAAACAGAUAUGGGUAUGGAAGAAAUUAUACGAGGAAUGCGAGAUCUUCAAAUCAAAUUGGCAAGACUUGAAGAGAAUACUUCUAUAAACAAUUCGAAGAAUGUUUCAAAACAAGGAUAUGUACAAAGAUGCAUUUGGUGUGAUGAUGCUUCACACACUAGAAAAGAUUGCAAUGAAUUUAAUAAUAUGAUACGGCAGGGAAUUAUUUGCUGGAAAGAUGGGAAGAUAGCAUUGAAAGAUAGGGAGGAUCUUCUUCAAACCAAUUUGGCAAGGGAGGAAUGAGAGCAUUGGUUCAAGAUUACUUAAAAGAGCAUGAAACAGUAGUACGAGAAAGUGCAAGUUAUGGUGCUAGAGUAGAUGAUGAAAUUGGUGGAAGUACGGAAACUAGUGAGUUUUGGGCUUCUGCCGUUUCUACAAUGCAAGAAGGGAAAUUACCUCGAGAAGCGUUAUUGAGAACUGCAGCUACAAUAUGAGGAAGAACAGGUUGGGAGGAUCCUGUUGAGUCUCUUUCAGUUCAUGCAUAUAUUGCUAAGAGCCAACAUGCAGCUUUGAUGGAAGAAAAAAGACGAGGAAAUUUUGAUGAUACUAGAGAAGGAAAUUCUUUUAAGAGGCAAACUCGAGGAGACAAGGCUUGGGAGGCAGCUUCACAAGAAUUGCCUGUAAAGGAUACCUCAGCAUCAUUGGGAGAAAAAACAACAGAGUCAAAAGAUAAUGGUAAAUCAAUUGCUUAUAAGCUACUUUCUGACAUUGAAGCGGCAACAAAUUUGAAAGGGGUAUUGGAAGAACGUAUAUUAAACGCUAAGGUGGAAUUCACAUUGAAAGAAGUCUUGGGAAUUGCAAAGAAGGAGUUUCAUGAAGUUAUCAUUGACAGCAUUAAGCGAAAGAGGCAAUUAAUGAGCGAAACUGGAAUGAGUCAUGCUAUUGAUGCAAGAAUAUGUAGAGAUGAAGAAGAGGUUGAUAUUGGUUACAAGCAACCAACAAAUGAAAAGAAUGGGUAUAAUCAGCGAGUACAUUUCGAAGAUUCUAGUGACAAGGAAAUGGAAACUUUGAGCCAUUAUACUCGAAAGCAUUGGGCAAGGGCAACUACUGAGGUAUUGGUGAAGGUAGGAGAUAUAGAAGAACCAAUAGUUGCUUUGGUGGACCAUGGUUCUGAAAUAAAUCUCAUGUCUAAAGAUCUUUAUAAGAAGCAAAAAUGGCCAAUUGAUAUGGAACAUGGAUGGGCAAUACGAGCAGCUAAUAACACACGAGGCGAAUUAUAUGGAGCUUGUCUAGAUGUCAAAAUUCGGAUUGGGGAUGUUGCGACGGAGCAACAUUUCUUCGUUCAAGAUACAACGUCUUAUCCGUUGAUUUUAGGACAACCUUAUAUCACGGCAACACGGAUGGAAACAAAGGUACUUGACGAUGGUUCUGCUUAUGCAAGGGUACGGAGCGAAGAUGGGAGGAAAGCUGUACAAUUUCUAACAGUACCUCCUAACCAUGAACGGAAUCGAGAUAGGUUGAGGGAGAAACCAUUGCCAAAGAUUGUUGAAGGAUUUAAGGAUUUUGGGGAGGUACCACUGUAAAGCGAGAUUAUGGAGGUACAAAAGAGGAGGUAUUCUCGCGAGAUGAAGGUACCUUUGAUGCGAAUUUUAUUGGUAUAUUGGAGAAUGGAAAUAUUAUGUAUAAGAAAGUUGAUGAUUUUAAAAGAAAAGAAAGAAAAAGAUUAUAUGAUAUUGAAGGACAGUUACGCAAGAUAGGUACAUUGCAAGAUGAUGAGAGGAUUUUGGGUGUUUAUGAAGAAAAUGGGCUGGAAGAUUCAUUGGAAUUGAUUACAUCUAUUGGGUUAGGGGAUAAUGAUAAGAUUGUUGAGAUUCAUUCGAGAGAGGUUUAUACCUUGCUUGAAUCUUUUCAAGCACCAGAAGUCACAGUAGAGACGAGAUAUAAAACGACAGAUAAGAAGGUAAAGCCUGUUGCCGGACCAUUACCAGAGGAUUCUAAAGAACAAAUGGGAGAAGCAUCAAAAGAAGCAAGUUUAAGAGAUCCAAUGAGUAUUGGACAUCAGUUUACUGAAGAGACUUUUGAAGAAUUGAAGAUCGGUUCUGAUGGUUCUGUAUUGCCGGAGGAAAUUACUUGCUUCAAAAAGAUGUUGGCUAAACAAGGUAGAUCGUUUGCCUUCGAAUCUCAUGAAAUUAGGUGUGUGGAUCCAAAUAUUAUAACACCUAUGGUUAUCUUCACUGUACCGCAUGUACCUUGGAAUCUAAGACCGAUUCCAGUACCGAGGGCACAUUUACCUAAAUUGGUGGAACUAUUGAAAGAAAAGAUAAAGAUGAAAAUAUUAGAACCUUCAUUUGCGUCGUAUUCUAGUCGAUGGUUUACGGUACCUAAGAAGAAUGGGUCACUGCGGUUUAUUCAAGAUAUGCAGCCGGUGAAUGCAGUAACUGUCAGGAAUGCAGGAAUUGGACCUAUUGUGGAUGAAUUUGCUGAGGCAUUUGCUGGAAGGGCGAUCUAUUCAAUGGGUGAUUUGUAUUCAGGUUAUGAUCAAUUUCAACUUGCCGAAGGAAGUAGAGAUAUGACAACGAUGAGGACACCGUUUGGAUUGGUUAGAAUGUGCACUCUUCCUCAAGGUGCGACCAACUCAGUUGCGCAUAUGAUGAAUGGGAUGAAUAAGGUAUUGAGAGAUUUUAUCCCGGAAAAGACUAUGCCUUUUCUGAAUGAUGUUCCUAUAAAGGGGUGCAGAGAAGGAGACAAGGAUGAAACUUUAGAUACGAGGGGGUGUCGCAGAUAUGUUGUUGAUCAUAUACAAGAUUGUGAAAAGAUUUUAACUCGGCUUGGAGAAGUUCAUCUUACAUUAUCGGAUAUGAAGUCCGUAUUUGGAGUGCGAGAGGUUGUAAUUGUUGGACAUUUAUGCGGAUAUUACGGAAGAAAACCAGAUCCGACUAAAGUUGAUGCAAUUGGAAGGAUGAAAGAGGAUUGUAGUUCUUUAACAGAGGUUCGCAGGUUUUUGGGUGCAUGUGUAUUUUAUCGAAUCUGGAUCCCUCAUUUUGCUCACAUAGCGGAUCCAUUAUAUGAACUGUUACGCAAGGGUUACCGAUUUGAAUGGAAAGAAAGGCAUAUUCAGGCAAUGCAAAGAUUGAAGAAAUUAUUGAUGUCACCUCUAAUAUUGAGGAAGGUUGAUUAUAAGUGCAAUAGACCAGUGAUUCUUACUGUAGACGCUAGUCCAAUUGCCGUUGGAUGGGCGGUGGGUCAAGAUGAUUCGAAUGGGAGUAGAUUUGCAGUUCGAUUUGGGGCUAAAGUUUUAAGUAUUCGUCAGCGUGCAUAUUCGCAAGUCAAAAGAGAACUUUGGGGAGUCGUUUCGGCUAUGAAAGCUGAAAAGGACUAUUUGAUUGGGACAGUAGUAGUAAUUGAAACAGAUUGCUUGCCAUUGCUUGGAAUGAUUAUUAACUGUUCAACGCCAGAUAUUGCAAUGUUGAGAUGGAUUGCUUAUAUUAAGUCACUAAAUCCAGAAUUUAAGCAUAUCACUGGAAAGGACAAUUUAGUAGCAGACAUGCUAUCUCGAGCAAGAUACGAGAGGGAGGACGAAAUGGUUGAAGACAUUGAUGAUGUCGGAUUGAAAUUCUAUUCAAUAUCAAAUCUCAACAGAGAAGACAAGCUAUUUCUUGAAGAAGCUUAUGAAGGAGAAUUAUUGGAUAUUGGUCAUUAUUUGAAUACCUUGUCUAAGCAGGGGAAUUGGUCUACAGAAAAAUUCAAACAAAUAAGAAAAAAAGCAUAUGGAUUUUUACUUCGAGAUGGAUUCUUAUGGAAGAGACCGAAGAAAGGAAUUGGGAUGCCACAACGAGUGAUAGGCAAAAGGGAAGAAAAACUAAAAUUAUUAAAGGAGUUUCAUGAUAGUUUAUGGGCAGGGCAUAGAGAAAUCUGGGCUACUUUUGCUAAACUCAAGGAACGAUAUUGGUGGAAAAAUAUGUAUCGAGAUGUGCUCUCAUUUGUAGAGUCAUGUGAAAUCUGUCAAUCGUAUUCUAAUAUCCGACAUCGAGAUGGUCUUCAUCCUACGUAUCCUCUGGCUAUUCAUUUUAAAUGGGUUGUUGAUUUGGUUAUUAUGCCAGUUGGGUUAUGGCAGAUGAGAUAUUUGGUUUUAGCUUGUGAAGAUUUAUCAAAUCAAGUAGAAGGAAGAGCAUUGAGGACAAAAUCUACAGAGGGGAUUUGUAGGUUUUUGCUUGAAGAUGUCAUUUGCCGUUACGGGUGUGUAGGAAAAAUCACUGCAGAUCGUGGAGAAUUAAAUGCACAAGAAGCUCGUAAGUUCUUUGAAAGAUGUGGAGUUAAUCUAUCACUGACUACUGCUUAUAAUCCGGAAGGGAAUACGAAAAGCGAACGCGGUCACCCGCCGAUUGUGAAAGCAUUGGUUAAAGCUUGUAAUGGGAAGAUUAAAGAGUGGCCACGGCUUUUGUCAUUUGCAUUAUGGACUGAUCGAACAACACAUAGUUCGGUGACAGGAUAUAUGCCAGUAGAACUUAUGACAGGUCAAAAACCAAUUAUGCCGAUUGAAGAAAAGGUACUUACUUGGAGUAUGCUACCAUGGGAAGAUGGAUUGACAAGAGAAGAACUUCUGGCUAUUAGGAUUCGACAAUUGGAGCAAAGAACGGAAGAUGUGCAGAUAGCAUUGGAAAGGUUAAAAAGAGCAAGGUUACAAAACAAGGCGCGAUUCGAUAAGCAACAUCGAUUGAGACCAAAAGCAAUCGAUGAAGGUGACUGGGUACUUGUUUAUGACAAUGGUCUGGAUAAUCAACAUAGUACUUUGCGGAAAUUUUCAAAACGUUGGUUUGGACCAUAUGUUGUAACAACUGUUCAUGAUAAUGCAACUUACUCAUUACGGGAGUUAGAUGGUACAAAAUUGAAAAUACCAAUUGCAGGGAAGAGAGUAAAAAUAUUUAAACGAAGACACGCAGAGAUGAAUAUGGAAGACCUUAAUGGAGGUACAGAGAUUCCGCAGCAAGAAGAUGAAAGUGAUAUGGAUAAUGAAGGUGACGAAGACGAACUGGACAAAGACGUAGGGGAUAUAUUCUGAAUCAAACAGCAAUUGGGUAAAUUGGUGCAUAUCGGAGGAUGCACAGGUUCAGAGGGGGUGGAUGUCGUGUUGUAACACGAGUACAUAGUGAAAAUAAAAAGAAAGGGGAAUUUUAUUAAUAUUCAGUUACCUUGAAUAUUGGGAGCAUUGAUCAACUCGAGUACAAAUACUGAGUGGUCAGGUUCAGUCACUCCGUUACAGUCAGCCGGGGCAUACUGAAAUGCUCCAUUCGAUUCCAAUAACGGGAGUCAGCAGGAAGAGAGGACCAAUUUGACCCAGUUACGUGAAAUCCAGGUCUUACUACGGGUCUUAGCCAAUCUGACGCGAGGACCAAUUUGACCCAGUUACCAGAAAUCCAGGUCUUACUACGGGUCUUAGCCAAUCUAACGCGAGGACCAAUUUGACCCAAUUACGGGAACAUCCAGGUUACUACGGGCAUCUUUACCAAUAUAGGACCUGAAUUGGUCGGGCGACUCAAUGUGGUCCCGAUUACGGGGUUCGAUUCUGUUUCAGGCUGUCCUGUUCUCUGUGCCGUCUCAGGGAACUUUGUUUUCGAUAAAUGGAUUUCUUAAAGGUAAAAACGGAGGAGAAAGCUUGGCGGCGAGAGCCAAUUUCGAAUCCAAGUUGAGGUGAGAGCCAAUUUCGGAUCCAAGCUUGAGGUCGGAGCCAAUUCCGGAUCUAAGACGGAAGAUUGAAGAAAUUCAGAGGAUAAGGUUAGGUGGGAUAUAGUUUUGGGUGUGGGUUUUUUUUUUUGAGGGAAAUCGGGGGGGGGGAAGGGAGUUUUCAAGCUUCUACAAGGUUACCAGUUCGGUUUUCAUUGGAGUUUUUUGAAGAUCAAGGGAAUUAGAGAGAGGAGCUUCAUGCUUCGGGUCGGGGAAGGAAAGACAUAGAAUUUGGAUUUUUCUUCUUCGUAGAGUUUUAGGGAAGACUGAGGCAAUCGCUGCUGAAGUCAGUGUUGUAAUGGUGAAUCGGGAUUUUUAAAUGAAGUGGGUUUGAAUACUCUUGACUGUUUUGUGAAAUCGAGUUACGUCUGUGAUUGAAGGAUUAAAAGGGUGUCUAUAGGAUUGAGUAUGCGGAGUGAAUGAAAUUUAUUGGGUUAAUCUAACAAGACAGUCAGUGGAUACAAGAUCGUAAGUACAAAGCAGUAUUGAAGGUUAACAGUUUGGGUUGUACGGGGUUCUCUGUAACGUCUAGAGACCUAUCGGCUGGGGCAAAAAGGACUUCGACAAGCAGUCGAAGAGCACCCGUAUAGAUUUACAGUACAUUGUUGCAGUCGUUUAUAUUCCAGCAGUCAAAAACUGAUAGACUGCUUGACUAUCGGCGAAUCUCCAUACUACCUUCUACAGUCAGACGCCCGACGCGUUCUCGAGCAGGAAAGCACGUAAUACGACAACGUAGCCCCUAGUUAGAUAGUAUAUAUAGAAACAAGAGUGAAGGCUUCUUCACUCUUGUCAACUCCUUUCUUGCUUCUAGUCCAGGUUCAAGAGUCUUUAGUUUCUUGUCUUGUAGCAAUAGCCAUUCCAGUUUCCUUUUAAUAUACCUACUUGUUUAUAUUUGGACUUAUUAUAUCGAGAUAGCCUUUUUGUGUAUAUUUUCCCUCAUCGAGUCUUUGUCCUUGACACCCACAAAAAAUUGCUACAUGGUUCUUAAUUAGAUAAUAUAUAUAUAAAAGAAAAAAUAUAUAUAUAUAUUAUCUAAUUAUAUUAUAGUGAAGAAGGCCUUCUUCACUAUUGUCAAUAGCUUUUUAGUUCUUAGUCUUAUUUCAAGACUUUUUAGUCUUUUUGUCUUAGAUAAUAGUCAUUCUAGUUUAAUAUUAUACCAUCAUUGCAUGAUUUUUUAAACUUUUAUUUAUUGAUACAAGAUUUUAUUGAUCUUUUAGUUCUUUAAGUUUCAUGUCUUUGAUAGUUUGAUAAAAGUGCUAAUUCAUUGUUCUUAUUUUGAUUUAAAAGUAGAUGAAUAAUAAGGCAUGGAUAGAAUAUUUGUAUAAUUUACACAUAGAGAUGUGUAGUUGGAGUUGAGAAGUUUUUAGAAUUGAGAAUAGGGUAGUGAUUCAUAUGAGAUCUACUAUAGAAAUUUCUUAAAAGAUUUAGGAUAGUUAUCAUGGUAGAACGUCUCUCUAAAGGAUUCUUAAAGGAUAUUUAUAAUGAUAGAGUCUACCAUUAGAAAUAUUCUAGAAAGUUAAAGAUAGUUGAACAAGGUAUAAAUAAGAAUAAUAGAGGUAAUUUGGGCAUUUGGUUAAUUAUGGCUUUAAAUUCUUUCUUUCACUAAAGUUAGGUUAUUUUUUUUUAUUAUUAUUAUUUUGUUUUAUUUGAUUCUCUUUGAUUCUCUUUGAUUCUGUUAUCUUUUACUCAGUCUUGUCUUUUAUAUUCUAUUCUAUUUACUUACUUUCAGUUUUAUUCUGGUGUACUUCAACUUAUGUUGAAUUGAAAUCUUUGUUGUUAUGAAAUUGCUAAGGUUUUAGACCUUAAAAAAUCUUGUCCUAUUUCAUUGGUAUCAUAAUGAAUAUUAGUUUGUUCUUAAAUAGUGAGUUGAUAGCCAUCGUUUACUUGGAAGUUAAUUGUUGUGAUCACAUGGGGUACUAUUUUGCGACAACAAUGACCUAUUGUAAGAAAUCAAUUAGAAGAUGAGAAGGCAUUAUAAUAAUAAAAUUUGAUAACAAAAUUACAACAUGAAAGAUAUAAUAGAGCAAUUCCAAAUGGAAAUUCAGAUGUAACACCUUCUAGAGUAGAUAGCUACUCUACAAGAGCAAAUAGAACCUUCUAAGACCAAUGAAUUGACAUCUAUUGGGCUGAAAUUGAGCAAGCCCAAUACAUAUUCAAAGACCUCAAGGCAAUAAGAUGUAUGCUAAUGAUUCUUCAGCAUGCAACAAUAUCUCCAAUUACUUAGGACAAAUAUUAAUGAAGGAAUUAUAUAUAUCUUUAAUUAUUUGAAAGGUACAAUAGUCAUUUAGUGGUGAUAUCAAGCUCAAAGCUAUGGAGCUCAAGGCAAAUUUGAUAAUUGAGAGGAGUUUGAGACAAAGAUUAAGAUUCAAUUUUGGCACAUCAAUGAAGAGAAAUUAUUAUGCAAUCAGUUGGUUCUUACACUAUCCAAGUCAAUGCAAGAUUAUAUAUCCUGAUUCAAGUUCAUAUAUCUCUAAAUUGACAAGAUUUAAAGGCAAAGAUAAUAGAUUUAUUUGUAUAAGGGUGAAAACUUGUGGUCGACCAAGAAGUGGAAUUAAAAAAUUUACAAACAUUUAAGGAGGUAGUUAGGAUUAUAGAGAAGAUUGAUAUUAUAAACUUUAAAAAUGGUGGAGUAUGACCUAUAAUAAGUGGUGCUAUGCUAUUAGUCAAUACUAUGGUGCAACAAUAAAUUCCAAUGUAGAUUGAUGCUAUGCAAGGACCAUUGAUACUAUAGAGAUGACAAAUAUUGGUACAAAAAGAAUUAUAUUUUUAUUAUCCGGAGCCAAACCAUCAAAUUAGUGAUUGUUCAAAACAUCAAAGUUCAAGCACCAACAAAUUAUAACAAAUUCAUAAUCUAGAGGAUCACCAAGUUGAUGAAGAAGUGGAGCACAAAAACAAGUUUUUCCAAUAAAGACACUGAGGGCCAAUAGUAGAGAUAGUUGAUAUUUUUUAGAGACAAAUAACAUGACAUUUGAUAAUUAUUAGAAAAGGUCGACUAGUGUGUCUAAUGGACCGACUAAAAGGACAACCAUAUUGAAUACUUGUAGAUUGCAAUUCUAUAGAAAAUUGCAUCUUGACGGUAAUCACCAACCAACUUAGAAUUAAAAUAAAGGUGAUGAAAGGAAGAAGUAUAUACUUAGUAGAUGACCGAGUAAGAGAAGUGAAGAAGAAACCUUGAGGUUAAGUAACACCUAUGUCUUAAGGGAGAAGUUUAGAGUAACAAAGCUUAGAUAGUAUAUUAUUCUUGGUAUGCCAUAACUAGAGGUGGGAUAUACACAAGUCAAUUAGCUAGAAAAACAAAAAUCUCUUUGAAAAAUAGAGGACACACAAUGACUUUUUAUACCCAUGUAUCAAGUAGGAUAAUAAAAUAAUUUGCAACUAAGAUCUUACUCAUAGGAAUGGUCUUUAUGAAGAAGCAAAUAUGACAUAAGCAACUAAUAUAUGUGGUGGUUCUGAAUCUUGCCUCAAUAGUGGAAAAGUUAAUUAAAGGAGCAGAGGAGGUAGAAAAAUUCAUACAUGAAUAUCAAGAUGUCUUUCUAACCAACUUACCUAGUCAUGAACCACUUGGUUGAGAUGCCUUCUUCUAAUGAGAACUAGUGUUUGGGACCAAACUAGCAAGUUGGUCAAUUUAUCACCUAAUAUCAAAUGAAUUUAAAGAGUUACAAAAGUUAUUAGAAAAAUUCUUAAAGAAGUAUUUCAUUUAAGAAAUUAUAUCAUCAUAGAGAGUAUCUAUUCUAUUUAUAUUCAAAAAAGAUGGUAGACUUUGACUUUGACUUUGAUGUUGCAUCAAUUAUUAGGGCCUCAAUAGUAAACUAUCAAGAAUACAUAUCCACUUUCAUGUGUGGAUGAUGUUUUUGACCAACUUCGAGGUGCAACUAUCUUUAGAAAAUUCAACCUUCAAAGUGAUUAUUGGUAGACUCCUAUUGCCAAAGAAGAUAUAAAAAAGAUGGCAUUUUGUAUGCACUAUGGACAUUUUGAGUGGCUUAUAUUAUCUUUUGGCAUCACCAAUGCUUCAAUGACUUUUAUGGGUCACAUGAAUAGAUUAUUUUAGGACCUUUUAUAUAAGUAUGUGGUCAGCUUCAUUAAUGAUAUCUUAGUCUAUAAUAAAAUCCCUGAAGAGUAUGAACAACAUUUAUAGGAAGUAUUACGCCAGCUAUAUAAUAGUCACUUCUAUCACAAGUAAUCAAAGUAUAAAAUUUGGAAGUUAAUAAUCACUUUUUUGAGGCAUGUAAUAUCUUCCAAAAGGUAUGCGCAUAGAGCAAGACAACAUAAAAGCAGUGGAGGAUUGACCAACUUCCAAGGAUGCUUUAGAAGUUUGCUUAUUCUUGGGCCUUGGUGGAUAUUAUCGCCAUUUUUUUGGCAAUUUAUACACAAUUUUGCCUCAUUGACAAGCUUAUUAGAGAAGCAUGCUUCAUUUAUAUAGAAACUAGAACAAAAAAAGUGUCUUUGAGGAAUUGAAAGAUGUAUUAAUUAUUACUUCAAUAUUACUACUAUAUGAUCUCGGCCUUCCAAAUAUACUUAAUAUUGAUGCUUAUGACUUUGUUCUUGGCGUGGUUCUUCAAUAAGACUUUAAUAGAGGUCUUUAAUCUAUAGCAUAGAUAUCAUGCAAAUUCAGAAUGGCAAAGCACAGAUAUUCUAUACUUGAUGAAGAACAACUAGUAGUUAUACAUGCCACAAAGUUAUAGCAAUACUAUUUGUUGGAAAAGCCUCUGAGUGUUCAGACUGACCAUUGACUUCUACUAUACAAUUUGCAUCUAAAAAAUAUGAAAUUGUGACAUUAUCAUUGAAAAGUCUAGUUGUAGUACUUUGACAUUUAGCUUAAAUAUAAACAAGGGUAGCAACACAUCAUGCUGGACAUCUUAUUAUGUAAAUCCAACUUAAAAAUCAAAUUAGAUGAUAAAGUAGAAGUUAUUACCAUUAAUAAUAUCAUUGUAGAUUUAAAAAGAGGAGCAAAAUCAAUAGAAGCUAUGCAUUACAAUGCUUAUUUCAAGAUGGUUAUCAAUUGAUUAAAGAUGGACGAUGUAUAAUAUCAAGAUUAUUGUAUCAAUAAUGGCUUGCUCUAUUUCAAGAAGCAGAUUUAUAUACUUGAUGAUGCUAUACUUUAGAUGUACAUAUUUUAAGAGAGAUAUGUCAUUCCAAUAUCUAGAUAUUUAUAAUACAAAAAGACUUUAGAACGGAUCUCAAAAAUAUGAUUUUGGAUAAAUUUGGAUGAUUAUAUUUGAACUUUUGUGCAUUCUUAUAAAUCAUGUCAAUAUAAUAAAGCACUCAAUAUAACAUCUCUUAGGCUAUUGCAGCCAAUUCCACUACCUAUGGCACAAUAGAAGCAAGUGACUAUAGACCUCAUUACGUAUUGGCCGAAGAUGCCUCACAAUGACACUAUGGUUGCUGUAGUAUGCUUUCAUAUUGAUACUACAAUACUUACUUGAGUUUUUUUUGAUACUAUCUUUUGUCACAAUAGAUUAUUUUGUAUCAUGAUUUUACAUUGGAAUCUAUGCUUCAUGAAGAGUUUUUGAUAAGCCUUGUUCAAGUUAUUGGACACACAACUUGCCAAAUCUAUGGCUUUUUAUUUACAAACAGAUGGACAAAUAGAGCGUGCAAAUUAGAUCCUAGAGGAUAUGCUACAAGCAUUUGUGAUUGUUUAUCAUAAUGACUAGAAUGAAUAUUUGAUGCCCUUAGAAUUUGCCUACAAUAAUAAUAUUCAAGUAAGUAUUAGUUAUUUAUUAUUCUUCUUUAAUAUGAAUCAGUAGCCAAUUAUGCCAACAAUUCUCCAUUGUCAUAUUGACACCAAUAAUCUAACAAUGGAGGAAUAAGAUUAUUAUAAGUUUUUGUAUAAAGUUUAUACAAAGACUUACAAUAACCUUGGAGCAAACACAAUACCGUCUCUUUAUUAUAUAAAAUCAACAAAAAUACUAUGCAAAUAACUACUGGCAAUCCAAGGCCUUUCAAGUGGGUGACUAGGUAUUAUUCUACAAUGCCAACCUUCCACUUAUUACAUCAACUCAAGUCUACAAGCUACUACCUUGAUGGCUUAGAUAUUUUCAUAUUUUUUGUAAUAAUUUCUAAUGUUUCAUAUUGUUUCAAGCUUCUACCACAUAUUCGAGUCCAUUUGGUCUUUCAUGUUUUGUAACUCAAGGAUUUUUAUAUUAAUCUAAGGUGCUUUUUGUAUCAACAUCAACCACUAUUACCACCACUGGUUGUAAUUGAUGACCAACAAGAGUAUGAAGUGGAUAGUAUUUUGGAAAAUCACUACAUUCACUGUGGCAAUGGACAUCUACAACUUUAGUACAAAAUUCUCUAGAAAGGUUAUGUUAUCCACAAUGUAACAUAUGAACCUAUACAAAACCUCACUUAUUGUCAAAAAACCAUUUGAAAAUACCAUUGAGAGCAAAACAAGGAUGUUCCACAUUAGAGGAGAAAGAUUAGUUGUAAUAUGGCAUAGAUAGGAUAUAUAUAUAUAUAUAUAUAUAUAUAUAUAUAUAUUAUUUGUACAUAGAGAUAUGUAAUUGGAAUCAUUUUUUAGAAGUUUCUAAAAUUGAAGCUAAGAUGGUGGUUCAUAUAAGAUCCACCAUAGAACUUUUGAGAAAGGCUUAAAGUGGUUAUCAUGGUAGGAUCCACUUCUAAAGGCUUAUAGAAGGGCGAUUGUCUUGAUAGGACCUACCAUUAGAGACAUCGUAAAAAGCUCCAAGAUAAUUGAAUAAAGUAUAAAUAGGAUUGGAUGAGGCUAUUUGGGCAUUCAAUUAAGUAUGGUUUCAGACUCUUUCUCUUAGUAAAGUUUGGUUGUUUUUUCUUAUUCUAUUCUUUUUGGUUUUUUUUUAUUCUAUUCUCUUUUUUUUUAGUCUUAUCUUUCAUAUUCUAUUUUAUUUAAUUUCUUUUAAUUUUUUUCUGAUAUGUUUGAUCUUAUAUUAGAUUGAGAUCUUUAUUUUUGUGAAAUUGGUAAAAUUUUAGAUCUUAGAGAACCUAAUAUUAUUUCAAGGUAGACCAUUGUGAGUCAUCAAAUUGACUCACUUAUUAUUUUAGAAUAAAAAUAUGCAUUUAGAAUGCUUUAAAAUACAAGAUAUAGUAAGUAGUGUAGAAAUCCUUAGAGAAAUAGAAAAUUAGAAUGCUAGUGGUAGAAUGAAAUCUUAGCAAGACUUAGAGGCAAUUAUCUUUGUUGGUUUAGUAUUUUUAUUCAUUGUUGAAUAAUAAGGAUUAUUUAUUAAGACCAAUAUUUAUAUUGGUCUUCUAUCUAUAGGUACUACUUAUAAAAACUAAAAAUCUUAGUAGUUUAGAAGAAGCAUGAAAAAGAACCUCAUGUCAUUUUAGUUAUUGGUAUAAAAAAUAUGAUUUAUAACGGAUUUAAAGUGAUUUUUAUUAUUAUCAAAAAUCACAAGGUAUAAAAAUAUAGACUUAGAUGUAUAUUAGCAUUACAGAAAUAUUAUAGAAUUUUUCAGAAUUUAUUUAGAAUUUAUUUAGAAUAAUUUAGGAAUUUUUAGAGCAAUUUUUAAUAUCUUGGUAAAAAUGAGUUUUAUCACUUUGGGAGCCUUUAUGAAGCACCUUGAAAGUAGUUAAGAGGAUAAGACUAAAUCUUCGUGGCCUAUCUUAAAUCCCCUUAUAUACUACAUGUGAGCCUUGAUGAGGCUCGAAUCCUUGUUCUAUAAGCAAGUUACCUUUGAAGUAAAAUACUUUUAUUUUAUUUUUUAAUUAUUUAUUUCAUAUCUUUAAAACUUCAUAAUUUACUCGUAGUAAUUCAGAUUUAUAUAUUUUUUAUAUCAUUGGAAAGACAAUAAAAUUAACUAUUUAAAAAAUUUUAUUUUUUUAUUUUUUUACUUUUACUUUUAUUGGAUGAAAAUACAAUAAACACACUGUAAUUUAAUUUUGGAUGUUAUAAUUGCUUCAUGUCAUUUAUUUCAAUUGCUUUGUGGUUUUUCUUCUUUUUUUCUUGUUAUUUGCUUACUUCACUUUAUACCACCAAUUAAAAUUAACUCUUAAUUGAAGCCAUCUUGUAACUUAGGUUGAGGAGUGAAAAUUUAUACUUACAACCACUCUACUUUUAUUCUUGUAUUUUGAAGGUUGUGGACUAUUUUCAAGAGCAUAAAUCUUAAAGAACUCAAAGAUUAAGUCAUUCUUAUAUUACUCAAAAAUAUUAGAUAAUCACUCAAAGAUAUUAUAAUAUUAAAUUAAAAAGUCUUAAAAUAAAACUUAGAAAUAAAAAGAUAUUGAUAAGAGUAAAGAAGACUUUGUUAUUGCCUCUAUAUAUACUAUCUAACUAUGAGCUAUAUGGCAAUGUUCUAUAGGACCUCCAACACGUAUUGACUUUGCCAAACACAUGUCUUAGUUUAUAAGAUAAGUUUUUUAUAUAUUGACUAUAUAGUUAAUUUGUUCCACAAGCUACCAAUACAUGUGAUACAUGUUUAAUCUGUUGACAAAGUUUCUAAUCUAUCAAUUAACUACAAGCAUGUAUAAAAUCAAAGCAGCAUCUAUGGAGCUUCUAAAAAGCUUUCUUAUAAGAUAUUAUGAAAUUAAUCUACUUUUAUAUACUUCUACUUAAUCAUAUAUGUAAUUAUUACAAUAAAUUUGUAUGUCCAUAAUAUUACCCUCUUUCUUGGGACGAGUUUCAUAAAGAACAAUCAUUAUAUGUUGAAUCAUCUAAGAUGCAAUGAAUUAUAUUUGCUAUAUAAUUUGAUCUUUAUUUUCUUCAAAGAUAGUUAAUAUGUCCUUUUAGCCAUUGAUAGUCUUUCAUAGCAAAGUAAGAAGACUACCAUUGUCGGAAUAGAGAGAGUUUGCCUUAAAAAAGUACUGGAUAUCUAGCUCCCACUAAUUGCUCAAUCAAGUCUUGAGAUAAGAAAGAUCAAGUUUGUAUAUAUACAUAUAACACCUUUAAGUCCUAAUACACCAAAUAUAUAAGUCUUAAGUUUCCAAAAACAUCCAAAAUAUGAUAAACCAUCUAAAUCCUUAAAUAUCCUUAUGGACUAUUAUUUCGGAAUUUCAAUACCUCAUAUCUCCUGAUUCAACUGUCCAAACUUACUCAAAUUUUACAUGAAGUACUGAUGUAUUUUUAUCAAAUUUCACAACAAAUUUCAAUUGCAAAUUCAUUUUGGAUCUUAAGAUAUCACCAAAGUCCUAACAAUAGCUUCAAAUCCUAGUUUUUAUUCAUCUACGUGCAAUUUUCUUUAUAUCCUACAAACUAAACACCCAAAUACCACAAAAUUUGUAUAUAUAGUUUUUAACACAAUUAUCUACCUUCUCCAAAAGGUUUCAGCCAAAAAUUCUUCUAGAAAUUCAAGAUAUGGCUCCAACCAUUACUAUGAAUAAAAUCACUUACUUACUGCCUUUGAUUUGGAUGCACUGACUUCAACCCUCUAUAACUUCUUCAUCCAAACUCCAAAUUUAUUAAACAAUAUAUGAAAAGUGUGGUCAAAGAAGUAUUCUCUUCAAUCCUAAUUGCCGAUCUUUUGGCGCUCUCUAUAAAUAUAUGUUAUGCCCUAAAGAACGACAAUAGGUAUGAAAUUAAUACCUUAACUUGGAGUGCUAAUAACUCCUUCAUAAAAACUCCAAAUCACACAAAAUUUGCAUCCAAUCCGUAUCCAAAAACCUAAAAUUGAUGAUCUUAGCUUCUAAACCUCGAAUGACUUCAAAAAAAAAAUCCUAAUUCCUAAUAUGGCCUCGAGCAGCCUCCUUAAAGCCCAUUGGGUAUGGCCUUCGAUCAAUAGGAAUGAAGUUUUCUAUUCCUUGCCUUCAUCCAAUCAUGCUUUGUUUUCAUCCCUCCCAAUAAGCCUCCUAUUAGUUAAGGUUUUCUUCUUUAGGCUCUAAUAUCUUGUCAAAUCUUUAUACUAAAUAUUUAGGUCUUAUAAUUUUUUUAAAUACUAUAAUUAGAAUAAAUAAAAUCCAAAAUAAAGAUUUUUAUAUCCAUUCUCUUUAAAUUAAACUAUUAACCAUUCUAAUAUACAUCUAGAUUUAUUAACAUAUAAUAUAUUUUAACUAAUUUUUACAUACUAUAAGCUUUUAUUGUAUGACACCAUAUUAUUUAAUCAUUAUUGAGACCUUCAUAACUUUCUUCAAAUAAAAUAUUUGAAACAUUGUCAUAAGUUAUUCUACUUUUAAUAAAAUCAUCAAACAUUGAGAGUCUCUUCUAAGGUUGUGAUACCAAACACAUUGUAUCUCACCAUCUAUAUAAAGGACAUGUAAUUCUUGAAGAUCUUUAUCUCGAUUAUGACAUCUUAAAGAUUGUAAUAAAUACAAUAUCUUAUCUAAUAAGUUAGUAAACAAUAAUUCUUGAAUUGAAUCUGUUGAUUAUUGAUUUUUCAUCUCUUUAGCGCCAUAAACACAAAGAAGCUACAAAUAAAGAUAGAAUGUAGAAUGCUAUUUUUUUUGGAUCUUAUUUCUUUUAUACCAAAGAUUUAUCAUUCUUCUUUUUUAUUAUGAUAGAUGUCAUUGUAAAAAGCAUGAACUUUCUUUGUUGCAUUUGUAAGAUUUUUUGUUGGCUCGAACGUAUGUUAGUAAUAUCAUAUUUAUAAUAAUAAAUAAGAUAUUUCAACCUAUUUUUGCAUCACCUUAAAUCUAAGAUUUUUUCUACUUCAAAUUAUUUAUUAUUAUCCACUUCUAUAAGAGAAGGUGGCAUUUUUCUUCUUUUCAAGAUUUUCAAAUUCUUAUAUGGCUCAAAAAGAGACAUAUUAAAUAUAAAAUGAAUCUUCAUAGAUUCCAAUAGAUGUAAUUGAUAACUAAUAAAAUUGCUUUCUUUACUAAUAGAAAAAGGUCCAAGCCUACAAUAGUCCAACUUGUCACAAGAAUGAAUAGUCUUAAUAUAACAACAAAGCAACUAUAAUUUAUCAUCCACAUUGAAUUGUGGUUGUUCUUUAUAAUAGGCAUUUGCAUUGAAUUUUUUUUAUUCUUGAGUUUUUUUUAAUUACGCCUUCAUUGUUGCAUAUAGCUCUAAUAAAUAAUUUUUUAAAUCUUUUGCUACAUGAUUAUCAACUUUUGAAAAGUCAAAAGUAUCAAGUUAUAGAUGAUAACCAUAAUUGGUAAAAAAAAGUGUUUCUUAGGUAGAAAAAUAUACAAAAUAAUUAUACAUAAAAUCUUUCAAUGGCAAAAGAAUUACUUAAUCAUCUUAAAGAUAAUUGAUGGUAUAAUUCAAAUACUAUUCCAUAAUUUGAUUCAUUCAUUAUAUUUGACCAUUAGUUUAAAGAUGAAAAAUCAAAGAUAAUUUUAUAUCUACUUUUAAUAUCUUAAAAAAGAUUCUCUAAAAUCUUGAUACAAAUUAUAUCCUUUUAUUUGAUAUAAUAUUCUUUAGCCAUCUAUAAUAGCAAUAAAUAUUAUCAAAAAAAAACUUAGUUAUUUCUUUCUUAAAAUAGAUUUUAAAAAUAGUAUAAAAUAUGCCAUUCUAGUGAAGAAAUCUACAAUCAUGAAUAUAGAGGCAUAUAAACUUGAAUUUGAGAGAUCUAUAAUAAAAUCUAUAGAAAUAGAAGACCAUGAUUGUUUUGAUAUAGGCAAUAAUUGGAGAAGUUCAUAAGAUCAAUAAUAAGGAGUUUUUGAUCUUGAACAAAUAUCACAUUAUUGUACAAGGUUUUUUACAAUCUUUCACAUUUAUGACCACUAAAAAUCUUUGGAUAAAAGCUCCAAAGUCUUAUUGUAUCCAAAAUAUCUAGCAACUAGAAAGUUAUGAUAUGCUUGAAGAAUAUAUAAAUAUAUAUUUUUUUUUAGAAGAUAUGAUCAACCUUCAAUAUAGAGUAGGUUAUUUUUGAACUUGAAUUUAAAAGUAUCAUGAAAAUUCAAAGAAAUUAUCUUAAUAUCAUAAACAAGAGGAUUAGAGGACAUACUUCAUUGAAUUUACUUAAUAAAAGUUGAAUUUAUUGCUCAAAGAUAAAAUUGCAUAGGCUUCAAGAUGACCAUUUUCUGUUAAUUAAAAGCUCUAUGUCCUUCUUUUGAUGGAAGAUAAGAAUGUCUAAGAGUGCAUCUGACAAAUCUUAUUGAUUUUUAGAUCAAUAUAAGAUUUUAAAAUCAAAUUAUAAUAAUGACAUGCUUCAACAAGAUUCAAGGAGAUUCAAUAUCUUGUCAAGCACAUGAACUAAAAGAUGAUGCAUAAAUCAAUGAAAUUAGUAUCAAAGAAAGAGUGAAAAAAUACAAAUAAGGAAGUAUGUAUAUUAAAAGAAAGUGGAAAGGCUUAUUGUCAAAAGACAAGAAAACUUGAGACUCUUGAAAUUAGACUAGAAGUAAGAAAGAAGUUGAGAAGAGUGAAGAAGACUUCACUCUUGUCUCUAUAUAUACUAUCUAACUAAGGGCUAUGUGGCAAUAUUUUAAAAGACCUCCAAUAUGUGUUGACUUUGUAGGACACAUGCCUUGACUUACAAGACAAGUUUUUCUAUUUCUAGGCUACAUAGUUAGCUUGGUCAACAAGUUGGUCAUGUGUCACAUAUGUUGUUAACUUGAAGAGCAAGCUUCCUAGAAGAUAUUAUAGAAAUAACUUGUUUUUAUUUACUUCUACUUACUUCUACCUAAUUAUACAUGUAAUUACUAGCUUAUAUGCAUAUGUCUAUGACAUAUCCUCAUUGACAUGAAGUACUUAAGGUUCUUCUGAUUUAUAUACAUGAUGAAUGUAUUAAAAUUAUAUUUUAGAUAAUGAUACUAUUUCUAUAAAGAAUCUAAAACUACAUGAAGUUAUUUAUUAUAGAUUUUAUAGUUAAUUUCUAUUGUUGAAAAUUUUUAAGAAUUAAAAGUUAUUAAAUGGAGUUUAUUAUUAGUUUUUAUUUAUAGAAGUAUUAUACCAAAGGCAAAAUUUGAUGCAUUUGUUUCCACAAAAAAUAUCUUGAAAAAAUUGACUCAAUACAAAAUUGAUAUAGAACUAGAUUCUUUCUUGAAAGUAUUUAACAAUACUUUUGUUACUUUAUUCUAUUUAAAUUUGUCUUUACAAGUCAAACAUGUAAGUAGGAUGCAACUUAAGAAAAGUUUUUGAUGAAGAUAUGAUAGUAAUUGACAAAGCUCAAAAAAUAAUAUACAUCUCGCAUUGUUCUUAAAAUCUUCUAAUCUAUGAAAAUUUGAAUUUUUUUUGGAUCCAUUAUUAAGCUUUUGUUGGAAGUGAUGUAGCCUAAGAAGUCAACUUGAGUAGUGUGGAAUAUAAACUUAUGUAUUUUGGCAUAUAAUCAUGCAUCUUUAAGUUUUUGUAACAUACAACGAAUAUAAAGUUUAUAUUUUUCUAUGCACUUAGAAUAAAUUAGAAUAUUGUGUAAAUAGUAAAUAAUAAAUUCAUCAAGAAAUGACAAAAAAUAUCAUUUUUAAGAUGUUGAAAAGUAGUUGGUACAUUUAUGAAUCCAAAAGGCAUAACAAUUUAUUUGUUUGAUUGAAUUAGUCAAAAAGUUCUAAAAUCAGAGGUAAAAGAUACCUAUUCUUGAUGGUGAUCUUAUUAAAUCUUGAAUCGUCUAUGUACAUUUACAAAGAUCCAUCUUUUUCUUUUUACAAAUAAAAUAGGAGUUUCUGCUAGAGAUUUUGAAUGGCCUAUAAAAAUUUUGUCAAGUUCUUAUUAAUAUAUUUUUUGAAAGCAAUCAACUUAUUUUAUAAUAAUUUAUAAAUCAAUCUGAAUGGUGGUUCAAUUUUUUCUUAUAAAUCAAUUAAAAAAUUAUAGAAUCAAUAAUCUAGAAGAAUAUCUGUAUUUUUUUAAAAUGUCUUGAAAAUCUUAAUAUUAGCUAAGAAUAUCAUUUGUUAUCUUUUUACUAUUAAAAAUAGAAGUGGAAUAUAUAGCAAAAGAUGAUCCUUCUUUUGCUGUAUGCAUGAAAGUUCUUGCAUAUAUCAAUAAGAAUUUAGAUGUCAUAUAUAUAUAUUUCUACUUAUUCAAUAGAAUUUUGAAUUAAAUUAUCAAAAAAAUUAAGGUUACAAGAAAUCCAAUCUAUUUAAAGAUUAUAUUUAUUAGCUAUGAUAAUCUUAAAAUAAUUAGGUUGGAAGAAGAUCUUAUCAAAUUAAAUAUUACUAUGCUAUUAUGAUCUUUAAUUACUACAUUUGAAAAACAAUCUCAUAGAUAAUAUCUCCAACAGAUGACAAACGACCAUCUAUAAUUUCUACAUAUAUGGAUUUUAGUUUUUUUGACUAAUAAUAUUUCUUAUUUUUUGAUAGAAGUCUUUAUCUAUAAAACAAGCCAAGACUCUUGAAUCUAAUAAGACAAAGAUUUUAUGAUUUUUAGAUCUUAAAUAUAUAUUUAUUGUUAAAAAAGGUGAAAUAUUUGAAAAAAAAAAUAGAAACUUUAUUAGGUGUUGCAUAUGAUUUGUGCCACACAAUCCUAUUGUAGCAAAAAAAAAUAAAAAAUAAAAAAUAAAAAAAUAAAUCAUUUUUUGACAUAUUAUCUUCUUUGGCAAACAUGUUCCUCAUUUUGUGAUUGCCUUGUUUCUUUAGAUAAUGUUGAGUGGUGUGUUUAGCUUCUCUACAAUAUAAGCAUAAAUUUUCUUGACAAUAUCAAAUCUUUUUUUGCUCAAUAAGAAAUUUAAAAUUUAUUAUAUUAAUUUAUAUUGAUUCUUGCCUUAAUGAAUAAAUUUUUUAAAACUUACAAAUUAAUUUUAUUAUUUUAUUUGUUCUUCUCCAUCCAAAUCUUUAUUCUUAAUGCCUUUCAUAUAAUUGAUUGUUACAUGCAAUGGCUUGAGAAAUAAAUUAUUUCAAAGAAUUUACUUUCAAUAUUAUUAAUAAUAAAUCUUUGAUUUUAUCCUUCAACAUAUAUCAAAAUUGAUAAAUAAAGGCUUUGUAAUUCCAAUCCAUGUCGUAAACAAGGUUUUGGAAUUCAAUAGCAUAUAUGGUGAUUAAUCAUCAUCGUAUUAAGUAUUAUCUUGUUUGAAAAUGCACCAAGCACUUGGUUGUGAAAGAUGAAGUUGUAUUUUAUAAGUAUCUAAGAAAUUCUAAUAUAUUUUAUCCAUAUAAAAAGAAUAUAAUUUGAAUUUGAAUUCAAAAAUAUUUAAAGCCAAUAAAAAGUAAUCAAAAAUAUUCUUCUUAAUAAUCUUAAUCAUAUACAAAUUCCGAUUGCCUUAUUACUUUUAUAAUUAGGUAAUUUUGAUUUUUCUUUACAAGCUCUAAUUUUAGUGAGUGAGCUUUAAUAAUCUACAAUUUUUAAUUUGACCAUCUAUUUGGUGCAAAGUUUUAUAUACAAAUUCCACUAAAAAUCUUUUACAUGCUUAAAAAAUUUUUGCUCAAUCCAACUUACAAAUUAUAAGAAAACAUCCAAAAAAUUGUACUAACCUCACUUAACCACUAACUUGAAAGUUGAUAUAGAUAUUCCAAUAGAAAUUUUUCUUUUUUUAAUUAUUAAUUUUAGUUCAAAAUUGAUGUAUAGCUUCAUCAAGUCUUUUAAUACCAUGCCAAAUUUUAUCUUGAUUUAAUUAGUAGAUCUUUAGAUAUUAUAGAAAUACUACUCAAUUCCAAACUACCAACUUUUGAUACCUUCUUGUAGCAAAAACUAAUUAUCUCUCAACUACAUUGUUAGAUUAAAUAUAUAUAUAUAUAUAUAUAUAUAUAUAUAUAUAUAUAUAUAUAUAUAUAUAUACUUAAUACAUCCAAUCAAUCAAGUAUUAUCAAAUUUUGAAGUAUAGAUGUGACACCAAUUGCACAAACUACCUAAAAAUACAAACUCUAAUUGUAUUGCAUAAAUCCAAAGUUACCAAAACAAAUCUUGACUUUGAAUAAUAAUUACAAAUUCAUUUCAAAUCUUAUAAAAAUAAACAUUAUAUCUAUGAAAGAAGCUUAAAGCUAGUUAUCCAAAUCCAAUCAUUGAUCUUCAAAUACCUCUAGACUUUGCCUUAAGUGACCAUUUAGUAGCUAGUGGUCUAAUUUUAAUCAUGUUCUACAAAUGGUCAAUCCUUAGAUACCAAUCCAAUCUAUGUUAGGGAUUUUUUAGCUUGGCCCUACCUUCAACUUAAUCUUAGUCUCAAUCAUAUUAAUCAUUCAUUUCUUUUAUUAUAUUUUUAUUAAUUUAUGGCUUUUUAAGAUUAUAAAAGAAUUUCUACAAUCUAAAAGAUAAAAUUACUAAAAUUUAAUACACUAGUUAUUAAGACAAGAAUAUAAAUUAAGAGACUUUUAUAAAAUCUAUGUUUAAAUGUUUAAAAUUAUUAUUGAAUAAAAUAAUUAUAUAUUAAUUAAAAUUUUAUUUUUGAUUAUAUUUCUUCUAUAUAAUUGUAUUAUAAUACAAUACUAUGAUCUUUGUUGUAAAAAUAAAAGUUUGAUCUUUGCUACUCUUCUUAAAUCAUUUUUUCCGAAUGUGGUAAUAUAAACUUCUAAAAAUAGAUUCAAAUAAUAAAAGAGUCAUGCAUCUUUUUCAUCAAAGCUGCAAAUCAAAAAAAAAAAAUACUUCCAAAAAAAAGUACACUUUUGAAUCAAACUUGAGUAAAUUCAUUAGAGUAUUGAAAAGGAUGCAAUCUUAAAUAGAGCUUAAUUUCUUGUAAAAAUUCUUAAAAUAUUGAUCUUGCUCUAUUAAACUCCUGAGGCAUACUAAUUCUUGUCUCUUUUGUGCUUGUAGAAACAAAAUUUCUUAAAUUUGGUUAUGACGUUGAUCUACUUGCUUCUAUCAAUUACACAACUUUUUGGUAUAGAAUCUAGACUUUUUCCAUAGAUAUAAAAAUAUUUCUUUUGUAGUGGAUGAUAGUAAUCCAUGAAAUUUAUAUCUUAAAAAUAUUGACAAGUUUAUAAAGAUCUGCAAUAGUUGCAAAUCUAUUUGUACUUUCAUCAAGUCUAGCAUCUACAAUUUUUCUUUGUAUUUCAAAAAACUUAAUAAUCUAUAAGUCAAAUUAGAAGAAGGUAAUCUGUAAUUUCUAAUAUUAAAUGAAAAUUUUUACAAAGAAUCAUGAUCCACUUUCUUUAAAAAAAAAUCAAUGUUAGAAAAUUAAAUUAUUUUUUAAAAGGUGGAUAGUCUACAACCUUCAAAAUUCAAUAGUAGGAAUGAGAUAAUCCACUCACUUCUAAAACAAGAAAAAAAUAAUGAAUUAAUAUUCAAGUCAAACUAUAAAAGACAUAAAUUUUAAAGAAAAAAGAAAAAAAAAAAAAAAAAAAAAAAAACUCAAUACACUCUAAAGUCACUUGAAAAGAUUAAAAAAUUAUUCAAAGAUUAUAAUAUAUUCAACUAAAAUGGCUAUUGCCAAAGACAAGAAGACAAGAAGACAAGAAAGUCUUGAAAUAAGACUAAAGACUAAAAAGGCAUUGAGAAGAGCGAAGAAGGCUUUAAUCUUGUCUCUAUAUAUUCUAUCCAACUAGAAGCUAUGUGGUGAUGUUCUAUAUGACUUCCAACAUGUUUUGACUUUAUUAGAUACAUGUCUUAAUUUACAAGAUAAGUUUUUUGUAUGUGUACUACAAAAUUAGCUUAUUCUACAAGCUAUUAAUACGUGUGAUAUGUAACUAACUUAUUGUCUAAGUUUCUAACCUAUCAAUUAACUAAAAACAUGUAUAAAAUCAAAAUAGUGUCUAUGAAGCUUCUAAGAAGCUUUUUUAGAAGCUAUUAUAAAAUUAAUUUACUUUUAUAUACUUAUAUUUAAUCAUAUAGGUAAUUAUUAAAAUAAAUAUAUAUAUUUGUGACAAUUAUCUACUUUAAAUUAAUAUUUUAGUUUUUUAUAUUAAUUUUUUUUCUUAAAAAGAAUUAUCUAUUCUUAUCUAUAGAAAAUUUAAUUUGGUAUUAGAGAUUCCAAAUUAUCUACCUCUAAUUUGAUUUUUAGAUUUAUAUAAAUUACCUAUAGAAGAAAAAAUUAUAGAUGCUAUUCUUCAUAGAAGUAAGAAUAGAUUUGUAACUAUUGUAAAUCUUUAUAAGCUUAUCAACACUCUUAAAGUAGAAAUUUCACUUAUCUUGAAUACCAAUCAUAGAAGUAAUAUUUAGAUGCCUAUGAAAGAGGUCAACAAUGAAGUUUAAAGUCUAUGCUAAGAUGUUGUGCAAUUGAGAGAAGCAAGUAGAUCAAGUUCACAACUAAAUCCAAUGAUUCUUGUUAUUAUAAGUAUAAAAGAGGCAAAGAUAAGUAUGCUAAAGAAGUUCAAUCGAACAAGAUCAAAAUUUUGAAGAUUUCAACAACAAAUAAGGUUCUAUCGAAGAUUGCAUCUUUUUUAAUACUUUCAUGGAUUUAUUUAAGUAAGAUUCAUAGAUUUUUCUUUAUAAAAUAAUCUUUCUUAAUUUUUAUCUUUGAGGGAAAAAGAUUCAUGUCUUUUCUAUAAUUUGAAUUUAUUUUGAAAAGUAUUCACUUCCACUUUUAGAAAAAAUCAUCAAAAAAAGAUAGCAAAGAUCAAACUGUCAAGGACAAGAACUCGAUGAAAAACAAUUCAGACAAGCGAGCCUUCACUCAAAGAGAGGUAAGAAAUUAAUUUAAACAAGUAUAUAUAUUGAAAUAGAAACUGGAAUGGCUAUUGCCAAAAGACAAGAAAACUAGAGACCCUUGAAACUAGACUAGAAGCAAGAAAGGAGUUGACAAGAUGUCACGGAUACAAAAUACAGACAAGAAAACUAGACAAGAAGUUCAAGAAGAACUGGAUUAAUCAGAUGAGUACAAGAACAACACCAGAAAGGUGAGCUAGAACUCCAAGAGAUGUGUUGUCGAGACUGAAGAACCCUUCAGCCUCGACUCCUAUAUAUACUACUGAAUAGGAAGCUUCUCGAGCUACUUCCGCUAGCUAGGACGCUUCUCCAACAACUUCUACUAAUUAGGAAACUUCUCGAGCAACUUCCUAGAAUCUAUCAGAAUAUUCUAGAACCUUCUAAGAAUAUUCUAGAACCUUCUAAGAGAAUCUUUAGGGAAUAUUCUAAGAAUCUUCUAGAACCUUCUAAAGGAAUCUUUAGAGAAUCUUUAGAGAAUAUUUUAGAAGAAUAUUCGAAGAAUCUUCCAAUGUAUGUCCAUGACAUCACCUCCUCUUCUAACUUCGAGGUCUCCGAGAAGCAAUGUUGUUAUCAGUCAAUACCAACGCAAGAAAAUGAAAAUCUGUCGCAUCACAUCCGCUAUGAAUUCCAAUUGUUGUUCGCGAGGCAAAUGAUUCAUCGGCCCUUGGAGCCAACGGUAGUGACUAACACCUUCAACCUCUGACCAAGCGUGGACUUCUGUGUCUUCAUUGUGAAACUGUCCUCCAAACACACCUUCUGGCUGACCGUCGUAGGCAGGCUCGACCUCAAAUACAAUUACUAGCGAUCUGUUGCUCGGUAUCCUCCGACGUCGUCGUGGUGCAGGCGGUUCUUCAUCUUGCGGUCGUCUUCGUGAGCUAGUCGCUUGAGAUGACAUAACAAGUGUAGUAUCUUGACUAUCCAUGUCCAAAGGCUAAAAUCAUGAGAGCAAACUAUAGUUGCUAACAAAGUUCUACACUAUCGAAUUAUGGGUUUUGGAAGUGCCCUCCCCCCUUUUUAUGCUACUUGAUGAGCAAGCUUCAGCAAGAAGCUAUCGUUGAAUCGGCUUAGGUUUAUGAGGAUAUCGUUGAUGAAAUUCUUGUACCUUUUUUGGUGCAUUGGCAAGAUUUUUGGCACGCUCCCACGUUCGUUCAUUGAUGUCGUAUCCACUCCAAUGCACUAAAUACUCCAAUUUUCUCCUAUUACGCCGUGAAUCUAGUACCUUUUCCACCUCGUAUUCCUCAUGGUUUUCAAUUUCGAUACUUGGUGGCGGACUUUGUACUCUUUGGGGAAAAGCUGACUCUCGAUAAGGUUCCAACAAAGACACGUGAAAGACUGGAUGUACCUUCAUAGUAGCUGGUAACUCCAGACGAUAUGCCACCGGAUUGAUCUGCUUCCCGAUAACAAAUGGCCCUAAUCUUCGAUAGUCCAAUUUGUCACAUGGCCGCUUGGUCUUGAUAUUUCGUCGAAGAAGCCAUACUUUACUUCCAACUUUAAAAGUAGGCGCCUUAUUUCGAUAUUUAUCUACAGAUGCCUUGUAACUCUCUUGGGCAGAUUGCAAUUGAAGCUUCAACGUCGCUUGAAGCUCCGAUAGUUGCUUCACAAAUCCUUCAGCUGUUGGGUUGUUAUUUGCUGAAGAACUCAAUAAAUCGAGCUUGGGGUGGUAUCCGUAGUUGGAGAAGAAUGGUGUUUGUUGAGUUGACGCAUGAAGAGUGUUGUUGUAUGCGAACUCAGCAAGCGAUAGAUAUGCAGUCCAAUCAUCUUGUUGAUAGUUGAUGCUGCAUCGUAAAUAUUGCUCCAAAACUUGAUUCACCCGCUCCGUUUGACCGUCAAUUUGAGGAUGAAAAGCCGAAGAGAGCUUAAUAUCCACCUUCAAUAUCUCAAAGAGGGACCUCCAAAACUUGGAUACAAACUGAGUACCUCGAUCCGACACGAUAUCAUCUGGUAGGCCAUGAUAACGAUAUAUGUUAUCAAGAAAGAGUCUUGCGGUGUCUUCACUUGAUGAUGUUUUCUUGCAAGGCACGAAAUGCGCCAUCUUUGUAAAUCGAUCCACCACAACAAAGAUGCUGUCAAAUAAACUCGAUGGCGGUAGGUCCGUAAUGAAGUCCAUAGAAACUGAAGACCAUGGUCGGUGCGGAAUAGGCAAUGGCUAGAGAAGUCCAUACGGACGAUGUCAAGGGAUCUUGGAUCUUGAACAAACAUCACAAGAAAGGACAAAUUCCUUCACAUCCUUCCACAUUUGGGGCCACCAAAAAUCUCGUGAAAUGAGCUCCAAAGUCUUGUUGAAUCCAAAAUGUCCCGCAGCUGGAAAGUCGUGGCGAGAUUGAAGUACUCGGAGUCGAGUUGGUCCUUUCGGGAUAUACAACCGCUCCUCAAAAUACAGAAGAUCUCCCUCCACCUUAAACUUGUCAUUAUCGACACGUUGUUUGAUGUCAAGAGCUAUAGAAUCCUCAAUGGUCGCAGUACGUACCUCGCUGAGGAAGCCGUCAUCGAUAGUUGCAACAGUAGCAAAAAUCUUGAAUUUUUCUGGUUUCAACAAUGUUGUACAUUGUUGAUCAAACGCUGCUUCUCCAGCCUUUGGCGCAAGAUACGAUCUCCUCGAUAAUGCGUCAGAUAAUCCUUGUUGUUUUCCAGGGCGGUAGGUGAUAAUAAAGUCAAAUCGUGAUAGAGACAUAUUCCAUCGAGCUUGACGACGAUUCAAAAUUCGAGCUGUCAUGAAGUAUUCCAAAUUCUUGUGGUCCGUAUAAACAGUCACUGGAUGUGCAGCUCCUUCGAGGAAGUGACGCCACUCUUGGAAGGCAUCCACUAUAGCAAGCAGCUCUUUGUCGUGGAUCUCGUAGUUGAUCUCAGCAGCAGAGAACUUCCGUGAAUAGAACGCAACUGGGUGAAGCUUCUUGUCUAUGCCCAUCUGUGAAAGCACAGCUCCCAAAGCAAAAUCUGAAGCAUCGGUCUCUAAAUAGAAAGCCUUUGCAAAGUCAGGGUGUACCAAGAUUGGAGCCGUAGUGAAUGUCGUCUUGAGAUCUUGAAAUGCUUUUGCUGCUUGUGAUCCCCAUUCGAGCUUGUCUUUGCUUGUUAGACGCGUGAGUGGUGCAGCAACUUGAGAAUAAUUCUUGAUGAAGAUCUGAUAGAAGUUAGCAAAUCCAAGAAAACACUGAACAUCUCUAACCGCCUUCGGAACUUCCCAAGAUAUAAUUGCUUCUACCUUUUUUGGAUCCAUCUUCAAGCCCUCUGUAGUCGCAAUGAAGCCCAAAAAUUCCAUCUCAUUCUGGUGAAAUUGACACUUCUCCAACUUGGCGUAGAGUCCUCGUUCGCGUAGUUUUUCAAGAACCAAACAAACGUGCUUCUCAUGUUCUUCUUCAUUCUUGGAAAAUAUCAAAAUAUCAUCCAGAUAGAUGACAACAAAGUCAUCGAGGUACUCCCGAAAGAUGUCGUUCAUCAUAUGCUGAAAGACCGCUGGAGCAUAGGUAAGACCAAAAGGCAUGACAUUGUACUCAAAAUGGCCAUACCUUGUACGAAAGGCUGUCUUCCAUUCAUCUCCUUCUUUGAUUCGCACAAGGUUGUAGGCUCCUCUUAAAUCAAUCUUUGUAAAAAUCCUUGCACGUCCAAGUUGAUCUAAGAGGCCGGAGAUCAAAGGUAAGGGAUAGCGAUUUUUCUUGGUCACCUUGUUGAGUCCUCGGUAGUCCACGCACAUCCGCAGUGAGCCAUCCUUUUUCUUCACGAAUAGGAUUGGUGCUCCAGCUGGCGACUUUGAAUGUCGAAUAAAAUUCUUGGCUAGAUUCUCAUCGAUGUACUUUCGUAAUUCUGCCAACUCCGUCUGCGAUAGGUUGUAUAUUGGACCAAAAGGUGGUUGCGCUCCUUCCUCUAAGUCUAUGGCGCAAUCAUAUGGUCGAUGUUCCGGCAAUAUAUCGGCGUUCUUCUUCUGAAACACGUCUUCAAAAUCCCUAUAUUGCUCUGAUAUAUUCAAUGUUGAGAUAUUCUCGCUGCUAGUUGGAGCUGCAUAAAUGACAAAUGGUACGCCUUCCUUGGACGAUCUUAGGAACGCUCUUGCUCCUAUAAACAUGGAUUUCUUCAUGUAGGUUCUACCAACAGGUUUAUUAUUAUUUUUUUCAGGAAAUGUUAUCCUUCGUAGCCUCCAAUCAAUGGACGGAUUAUGAUCUUGUAACCAAGAAAGACCAAGGAUAACAGGGCUUGAUGGGGUUCUAAUAAUAUUAAAAAUAACGUGACUACUAUGGUCCUUAAACACCACUUCUAUAGGUUCUGAUUCGUGGGUAACGUUGCCUGACAAUAAGGGUCGUCCAUCUAUCACCUCUACGUGAACAGGUUUGGAUUUCUGUACUAAACGGAUCUUGUGGCGUUUAGCAAACUCUUCAUCUAAAAAACAAGUAGAUGCCCCCGAAUCCAAUAAAGCUAAAGUUUUUUGUUUUUGAGGGCCUAAAAAUAAAGGAAUUGUAAAACAACGGGCAGGUUGGACAGAGAAGGAGGAACCUGAUUGUUGUCGUGAUAUUAGAUUGUCAGGCCGCACAGUUCCUACUGUGGCUGGGCGUCGUCGUUUUUCGGAAUCAUCGCACUUCUAGUCUUGACAGGGUGCCAAUUUUGCUUCUUUGGGCAAUUUCCAACCUUGUGACCUUCUUCUCCACAGUACAAACAUAACCCUUCUUCCAUACGCCGUUUCUUCUCUGUUGGAGUAAGAGAUCGGACACGCGUCGUGUCGAUUUGCAUGUCUGUUGCCUCCGAAUGUGAGUUUAAGCUAUUUGCAGACAUAGUCACGUCGUAACGAGUCAUUUGGUGUCUUGGACGUUGGUCUUGGCGACGCUGGAAUAGGCGGUUGUCACACUUUACAGCUUGGCUAAUAGCUUCGUUGAGCGUUUGAGGAUCAAGAAGAGAUAACAGCAAGUCCUUCACAUCAUCCUUCAAGCCCCAAUAAAACUGACUCACCAACGCCUCUUCACCCCAAUUAAUGUCACUUGCCAAUUGUCUGAAAUCCGAGGCAUAGACUGAUGCAGCGCGUGUUCCUUGUCGUAGCGAUUGGAUCUUUGUUAUAGCCCAUCGAACUUUAUCAUGCUCGCCAAAUGCUUCUGCAAACGCCUCCAAGAACGUUUCAAAGUUGCUCAGGAUUGGCGAUCGCUUUUCGAACAAGGAAGUAAACCAAGACAGAGCUUGUGCUGUAAGCAAGGUUCCAACAAGCCCAACACGCGCUUCCUCCGUCGGAUAACGUUCGGGCUGUAAAAUUGUUAUCAACCUGAUUUGGUUGACAAAACCUCAAAACUUGGAACGAGUUCCAUCAAACUUAUCCGGAAGACUAACUCGAGGCUCCUUUCGUUGUAGGACUACUCGAUCUUGUUGAAAUGGAGGUAGAACUGCUUCUUCUGGUGCAGAAGUUUGAGGCUGAUAUGCUUUAGAUGGUGCUAUCCCAGAUGCUCCAUUGUUAUGGAGUCCUACCAUGACUCCUUCGAUCUCUGUUGUCCUAUGUGACAACGAGGCAAGAGCAUUUAUGAUGGCGUCUAGUUUGGAUUCCAAACUUUCAGCCGUUUUAACGUCUUAACCUUCGGCUAACCUUCAGAAAGAAGAAAAAAGAGUUUUGACAAGAGGACAAUAUUGGUUCAGAGGAGAGUACUCCGCAACCUCUAAAACGCCUUAAGACUCAAAGAUGAGGGGAAAUCCACUCUCUCCAAGAAGAAUAAGGCUCCAAUAUUGAAAAAGAAGAGAUAUCAGUUUAGAGGAGGGUAAUCCGCAACUUCUAAAACACUAGCACACCUUCAAGAAGAGGGGUAAUCCACUCUCUAACAAGAAGGAACUAGCUCUGAUACCAGUGAAAAUGCAGUCUCGACAAACUGUCACGGAUACAAAAUACAGACAAGAAAACUAGACAAGAAGUUGAAGAAGAACUGGAUUAAUCAGAUGAGUACAAGAACAACACCAGAAAGGUGAGCUAGAACUCCAAGAGAUGUGUUGUCGAGACUGAAGAACCCUUCAGCCUCGACUCCUAUAUAUACUACUGAAUAGGAAGCUUCUCGAGCUACUUCCGCUAACUAGGACACUUCUCCAACAACUUCUACUAAUAAGGAAACUUCUCAAGCAACUUCCUAGAAUCUAUUAGAAUAUUCUAGAACCUUCUAAGAAUAUUCUAGAACCUUCUAAGAGAAUCUUUAGGGAAUAUUCUAAGAAUCUUUUAGAACCUUCUAAAGGAAUCUUUAGAGAAUCUUUAGAGAAUAUUCUAGAAGAAUAUUCGAAGAAUCUUCCAAUGUAUGUCCAUGACACAAGAGUGAAGAAGCCUUCACCCUUAUCUCUAUAUAUACUAUCUAACUAGGUGCUACGGGGCGACGUUCUAUAGGACCUCCAAUAUGUGUUGACUUUGUAGGACACAUGCCUUGACUUACAAGGCAAGUUUUUCUAUGUGUGGGCCACAUAGUUAGCUUGAUCUUCAAGCUAACAACAUGUGUGGCACAUGGCCAACUUGUUGACCACAUUUCUAAUCCAAAAAGUCAAUUAAAGACACCUAUGAAGUCAAAGCAGUGCCUAAGAAGUUUCUUGGAAGCUUCUAUAUUAAAUAUUAUAGAAUUAACUUACUUUUAUCUACUUUUACUUACUUCUACCUAUUUCUAUAUGUAAUUAUUAGCUUAUAUGAUUAUAGCCGUGACAUUACCCCCCCUUCUAGAGACGAGUUCCACGAAGAGCAGUCAUCAUAUAUUGAGAAAAUCUAUGAUGCGACAAAUUGUAUUCGCCACAUACUCUGAUCUCUGUUCUCUUCGAAGAUGAUUGAUAGGGCCUCUCAACCAUCGGUAGUGUCCCAUACCAGGGCGGGAAGACCACCCAGUUAUUUGAUCAUUGUUGAGGCCUUAGUAACUUCCUUCGAAUAGAAUAUUUGGAACACCAUCAGGAGUUGUUCCUACCUCUAGCAAAAUCACCAAACAUCGGGAGUCCCUUCCCAAAUCGUGAUACCAAAUGUGUUGUAUCUCACAAUCUAUUCGAGGAAGAACAUGUCGUUCUCGAAGAUCUUCAUCUCGAUUGCGUCGUCUUGAAGGUUGUGACAAUUGUAAUAUCUCAUCCGGUAAGUCAGCAAACGAAGGUUCUUGAGUUGAAUCCGCUGGUUGUUGGCUCUCCAUCUAAUUAGCGUCACAAAUGCAAAGAAGUUACAAACAAGGAUAGGAAAUUGAAUGUUAUCUUGCCUCAAUCUUGUCUCUUUUAUAAGAGAGAUUUUCAUCUUGGUUUUGAUGGAUGUCGUUGAUGAAAAACUUUGACUUUAGCUGAUGCAUUUGCUAGAUUCCUGGAUGGCUCCCAUGUGCGUUCACUAAUAUCAUAUCCGCGCCAAUGAACAAGAUAUUCCAGCUUAUUUUGGCGCCGCCUUGAGUCUAAUAUCUCUUCCACCUGAAAUUCUUCAUUAUUAUCUACUUCUAUAGGAGGCGGUGGCAUUUGUCUUCUUCCUUGUAUAUCCACUGUAUUAUAUGGUUCAAGAAGAGACACAUGGAAUACAAGAUGGAUCUUCAUUGACUCCGGUAGAUGUAACCGAUAUGCAACUGGGUUGAUCUGAAAGGAAUCCACGAUCGCAAGAAGUUCUUUAUCGUGGAUCUCAUAAUUGAUCUCGGCUGCUGAGAAUUUUCUUGAAUGAAAAGCUAUCGAAUGAAGUUUGUCAUCUGUUCCCAUUUGUGAUAAAACUGCACCCAAGGCAAAAUCUGAUGCAUCUGUUUCCAUAAAAAAUGCCUUGGAAAAGUCAACACGAUAUAAGACUGGUGCAGAGACAAACGAUGUCUUCAAGGCUUCAAAUGUUGCUUCCGCUUCUUGAUUCCAUUGGAAUUUAUCUUUACUAGUCAAGCGCGUAAGUGGAGCUGCAACUCGUAAAAAAUCUUUGAUGAAGAUCCGAUAGUAAUUGGCAAAUCCCAAGAAACAUUGGACAUCUCUUACUGUCCUUGGAAUCUUCCAAUCCAUGAUUGUUUGGACUUUCUUAGAAUCCAUCAUGAGACCAUCAUUUGAAAUGAUGUAUCUUAAAAAGUCAACUUGAGUAGUGUGAAAUACACACUUUUCCAUCUUGGCAUACAAUCCUGCAUCUCUAAGUUUUUGUAAUACUUGACGAACAUGUAUUUUAUGUUCUUUAACGUUCUUAGAAUAGAUCAGGAUAUUGUCUAGAUAGCAGACGACAAAAUUGUCUAAGAAUUCACGAAAUACAUCAUUCAUGAGAUGUUGAAAAGCAGCUGGUGCAUUUGUGAGUCCAAAGGGCAUGACAUUAUAUUCGAAAUGUCCAUACCUGGUUCGAAACGCAGUCUUCCAUUCAUCUCCUUCUUUGAUCCAUACUAGAUUAUAUGCUCCUCUUAGAUCUAUUUUUAUAUAGAUCUUAGCUUGAUUCAACUGGUCAAGGAGUCCUGAUAUCAAAGGUAAUGGAUACCUGUUCUUGAUUGUGAUCUUGUUGAGUCCUCGAUAAUCAACACACAUUCGUAAAGAUCCAUCUUUUUUCUUUACGAAUAGAAUUGGAGCUCCUGCUGGAGAUUUUGAAUGGCGUAUGAAAUUCUUCGCUAAAUUCUCAUCAAUGUAUGUCUUGAGUUCAGCCAUCUCAUCUUGCGAUAAACUGUAAAUUGGUCCAAAUGGUGGCUGAGUUCCUUCCUUGAGGGCGAUUGAACAAUCAUAUGGGCGAUGCUCAGGAAGAAUAUCUGCAUUCUUUUUUUCAAAAACGUCUUGAUACUCCUGAUAUUGACUUGGAAUGCCCCUUGAAGUCUUUACGUUUUUAGAAAUAGGUGUAGCAUAAAUAGCAAAAGUUGAUCCUUCUUUUGCUGCGUAUAUAAAUGCUUUUGCACCUAUCAGUAUGGGUUUUACUAUACUAGACUUAUAAUUUUUUACUUGGUUGGUAGAACUAUUAAUAACGCUCUGGAAAAAGUCAAGUUUACGUAAAUUCCAAUCUAUUCGAGGAUUAUAUUUUUCUAGCCAGGAUAAACCUAAAAUAACUGGAUUGGACGGGGAUUUAAUUAUGUUAAAAGCUAUGUAGCUAUCAUGACCGUCUAUUGUUACUUUUAUAGGAUGAGUUUCAUGAGUGACAUCUCCAGAACACAAGGGAUGACCAUCUAUGACUUCUACAUGUACUGGUUUAGGUUUCUGUACAAAGGGUAUUUUACGACUUUUAACAAAUUGUUCAUCUAAAAAACAUGUUGAGGCUCCCGAAUGUAACAGAGCAGAGGCUUUAUAAUUCUUAGGUCCUAAAUAUAAGUCUAUUAUAAAACAAGGAGAGGGUUCUGAGCAGAGGAUAGGACCUUCAUUAGGAAUUGUACAAGGUUCCAGCUGCACGGUCCCUAUUGUAGCUGGACGAAUCCGUUUUCCGACAUGUUGUCUUCUUUGACCAUCGUACCCCUCAUUUUAUAGUUGCGUCGUUUCUUUGGACAAUGUUGAGCAGUGUGCUUAGGUUCUCCGCAAUAUAAACAUAAUCCUUCUUGACGACGAUGAAUCUUUUCUUGCUCAGUUAGGGGUUUAAAACGUACUGCGUCAAUUUGCAUGUCUUCUACUUCCAAAUGUACGUUUGGCAAAGAUGUUGAUGUUGCCAUUGAGUAAUAACGUUGAAGUUCCCGUGAAUGAUUCUCGGAUCGAAAUUCAAAAAGUCGAUUAUCACAUUUUACCGCAAAAUCGAUUGCUUGACUCAAAGUUUGAGGAUCAGGUAAGUUGAGCAUCAAUUUCUUUACUUCGUAUUGCAAUCCAUAAAGAAAUUGACUGAUGAGUGCAGCAUCAUCCCACUUGAUGUCAAUUACAAGUUGUCGAAAUUGUGAAGCAUACACUGUUACUGAGCAAUUUCCUUGUCGUAGAAUUCGGAUCUUAUUUGUUGCAACACGAGUUGCAUCGUGUUCACCAUACAUAGAUCGAAACUCCCCCAAAAAAGCUUCCAAAUUGUCCAAUAUUAGAUUUCGUUGUUCAAGAAAAGACGAAAACCACGAUAAUGAAGAAUCAGAAAGUAGAGUACCAAUAAACCUGACUUGUGAUCCUGGAGUUGGAUAGCUUUGCGGUUGAAGUUCAAUUGCCAAUUGUACUUGAUUGAUGAACCCUCGAAACUUUGAUCUCGUACCAUCAAAUUUCUCGGGUAAGGCAAUUCUUGGUUCUCUAGUGCUUACAGGAUGUUGUACAAUUGGAGAAGGAACGUGAUUUGUUGUAGAUGUUGAAGCAGCUCCGAUCAUCUCUAUAUCCCCACUUUCUGCCAUUCUUAUUCUUUCCUGUGUUGGUAAAUUGAAUUGAUACAUCGCAAGCAUUAACUCCCUCAUUUGCUCUUGCAUCUGUGCCAUUGCACUCUUCAUUUCAACAAGCUCUGCCAUAAUGACACUGAGAAGAAAAAUUUGUUUGAUACUGCUCAAGACAAAAGAAAAGAAAGACUUGAUAACAAAGAAGAUACUAAGAACAAUAUCAGUUUAGAAGUGGGUAAUCUGCAAACUUCUAAUACGCUUAUGCCUUGUCAAGAGAAAGGGAUAAUCCACUCUUACUUAAGCAAAACAAAGCUCUGAUAUUGUAAGUACACUCUUGUCAAUCUGUCAAGGACAAAGACUCGAUGAGGGAAAAUAUACACAAAAAGGCUAUCUUUGUAGGACACAUGCCUUGACUUACAAAGCAAGUUUUUCUACGUGUGGGCCACAUAGUUAGCUUGAUCUUCAAGUUAACAACAUGUGUGGCACAUGGCCAACUUGUUGACCACAUUUCUAAUCCAAAAAGUCAAUUAAAGACACCUAUGAAGUCAAAGCAGUGUCUAAGAAGUUUCUAGGAAGCUUCUAUAUUAAAUAUUAGAGAAUUAACUUACUUUUAUCUACUUUUACUUACUUCUACCUAUUUCUAUAUGUAAUUAUUAGCUUACAUGAUUAUGGCCGUGACACAAACUCAUAUCUUUACAACAAAGAUUAUGCUUAAUUAUCAUAUAUGCUACUAAAUUUUAAAUCCUUACUUGCAACAUGGAUUAGAACAACAAAGCCCUUAUCAACCAAUUUUGAUAUGAAUUAAAAGAUAAUGCCAAAGAUUUAUUGUUGAUAAUGCCAAAGAUUUAUUGUUGAUAAUGCCAAAGAUUUAUUGUUGGUAAUGCCAAAAGCAAGUAUAUUAUAGUAAUGUAUUAUUCAAGCUAUUAUAUGCAACAAUCGACUCUUUAAAAGACAAUAAGAAGUAAGAUUUGGUUAGAGAUGUAUAAGUCAAGUCAUAGUAAUAAUUUCUAAGUUUACAAAAGUUUAUUCAUUAAGAUUGAAACCUAUGCAAAUUGACACAAUAUAUUCCAAAUUUCUUAUUCAGCAAAAAAAAGACUUAGUAUCAUCAAGAAGAUUUGUACUUGCAUUGUAGAAAAUCUAAAUGUAUUGCUCAAUAUUGUCAAAAAAAAAUCAUAAUCACAAAACGAUGAGCAUAGUUGUCAAAGCGGAUGAUGUCUCAAAAAAUAAAUUCCUCCAACUACAAUAGGGACCAUAUAAUUAGAGUCUUGUACAACAUCUAAUAAAAAAUUUAUUCUCUCUUGUAAUCCCUUUCCUUACUUUACAAAAGAAGUUUUUUUAAGACCAAAAAAACCACAAAGUCUUUUCCUUGUUAGAUUCAAGAGCUUCAACUUGUUUUAUAGAUAAAGACUUUGUCAAAAAAUAAGAAAUGUCUAUAGUUAAAAAAAUCAAAUCUAUGCAUGUAGAAGUAAUAGAUAAUUAUUUUUUAUCUUCUAGAGAUGUUAUUCAUAAAAUUAUUCCUUUAAAUAUAAAAACUAAUAGUUAUAAUAGCUUAGUAAUAUUUAAUGUGAUUAAAUCUCUUUUUAAUCUAAUCAUUUAAAGAUUAUUGUGACUGAAAAAGUAUAGUCCUCAAAUAGAUUAGAUUUCUUGUAACUUUGAUUUUUUUUUGUAGUUUAAUUCAAGAUUAUGUUAGUCUAAUAAAAAAACAAGAAUAAAUAAUAUGAAGGUAGUAAAAAAUUUAGUCUUAAUAUUACCAUUUUGUAGAUGAAAUUUCUAUUUAUUUUGUAGAGACAUAAAUGAGCCUAAUCAAAAGAGAGAAAAAAAUUAAUUAACAAAAAUAUGUUCAAGAAAAGAUUAAGAAUAGGUUUUAGCAAAAAUUAUCUUAAAAUGUGAAAAUUUGAUCCUUAAAAAGGACCAAUCAUGAAGAAAGGUUAAAAUCAAACCUUAAGACAUGAAACCAUGUAUCAAUGGCAACUCCAAGGUUCUUUGAUGUAUCAAAGAAUGAGAUUUGAAAGCAAACUUAUGAAAAGAUUUUUGAUGAUUUAUUUUAUGUAAUUUGAAGAUACAUUGAGGUUUUGAAAGAUAUUCAAAGUGAGAGGUGUAUAUAGUGGAUUUGGAUUUUAAGAAAUAAAAAGAAGUUCACAAAUUUGAUAACUUUAUGAAUGUUGUAAUAUAUUUAUAAAUAAAAAUUUAUUUAUUUGAUAUUAUAUUUGUUAAAAACGUAUGUAAGAAAUUUAAUGUCAAUCGAGUAGUUAGAUUCAAGAUUGUAAGAGUUUUGUAGAUUAUGGUCUUGAAUAAUUAAAAUAUAGGAUUAGUGAGGGUUUUUGCAAUCUUACAAUAUUUUCUAAUUUUCUUGAAGUAAAAAUUAGUAAAAGCAAUUCAAAUUUAAAUAUCUACAUAUUAGCCAAUUUUUGGAGCAAUUGAAUAAUUCAAUAAGAAAAAAAAAUUGUUGAAAGAUCAAUAUUUAAGUUAGAAAAGAAAGACAUCCAACAUCUAAAACAAUUUGAAAGAUUUUCUUUCAAUUGAUGAUUUUGAUUAUUUUCAAAUUUUGUUUAAUUAUUACUUGUUUGAGAAUAAAUUCCUAAUGAUUGAUAUUUUUUGGAAGUUUCUUAAUGAUUUUAUCAUUUAUUAUUUAUUAUCUAAAUGAUAUUUUAAUUUACUGUAAGAUCUAAUUUACUUUUCAUGAUGAAAUAUCAAAGUGGUCUUUCUGCUUUUGCAUGAAAUACUAUUAAUGGCUGAUAUGACAUAUCAACCAUCUUCAAAGGGAACAAAAUUCAGAGUAUGUGGCAAAUACAAUUCACAUCAUUUUGGACUUCCUCAACAUAUGAUUGCCAUUUUUGAUGCAACUCGUUCCUAGAAGGAUGUUAAUGUCACUAACAUAUAUAUUUAUUUAAAUAAAAAAUAUUAGAUAGAAGAUAAAUGUAAGUAGAUUUAAUAUUAUUUUAUAGCAAAGCUUCUUAGAAGCUUUAUAGAUGCAUAUUUGUUUUUAUAUAUGUUUGUAGUUGAUUGGUAGGUUAGAAACUUAGCCAAUAGGUUAGUCACAUGUUGUAUGUAUUGAUAGCUUGUUGUACAAGCUAAUGAUAUAGUACACAUUUAAAAAACUUGUCUUAUAAGUUAAGACAUAAAAAUUGAAAACUUGUCAAAGGUCCUAUAGAACAUUGUUAUGUAGCUUCUAAUUAGAUAAUAUAUAUGGAGGUAAGAGUCGAGCCUUCUUCACUCUUAUCAAUACCUUUCUAGUCUUUAGUCUUUUUUCAAGUCUUUCUAGUCUUCUUAUCUUUGAUAGUAGCCAUUCUAGUCUAGUAUUAUAUAAUCUUUAAGUGAUUAUUUAGUUUUUAUUAUUAUUAUUAUUAUUAUUAUUAUUAACACAAGAGUGUAUUGAUCAAUACACUCUUAUAUAAAUCAAAAAAGACUAGAUAAUCACUCAAAGAUCAAGUCUUUGAUAGUAGUAUGGAAUCAAAGAGGGAAGAAAGUUAAAGCAAGCAACUCAAUUUUUGAUAUUUCAUCAACUAGCUUUUGAUAAUUUGAUUUCAAAAUCAUCCACCUUGUGAUGUGGUUGAUUCGAUGAAGUAUCAAGUAAUAUUUCAAAAUAUCAUAAAAUACUUUGAUAUUUGAUUAUAAGUGAAAUACCAUCCAAAAAGACCAUAUUUGAACCCUCUGAUAAAAAGCAUUGUAUACAAAAACAUUUAUUAUUGAAGUUAUUGACUUUGUAGUAAACAACUCACAUUCUUUAUAUUGCAUAAGUUAUUAAAUUUCUAAUUGAAGACCUUUGAAUGACUUUUUUUAUAUAUUGUUGCUUCCAUUUAUAUCAAAAUACUACAUAAGUUAGAUUAAAGUCUCAUUGAUUCAAGUGAUACUUAAGCAUAUUUAAGUACUUUAAUGACACAAUCAUUAAGAAAUAUACCCGACUACAAUGUUCUCAUUUAUAGAAAACAAUUAUAGCACUUUGACAGAAAACUAAUAUUCUAAAUUUAAAAUAAAUAACAGAAGUAACAUUCUUUUUUGUCCUUGUUAAUAUUAUUUUGUACUCUGCCUACUACAUUUACGUUUACACACAAACUAAUAUUUGAUGGUAUUUGGUAUUCAGCUUUAUUCACGUUGUAUAAUUCUUUUAUGUUUUCAUGUUUUGCUAAUAGAAUGUAUUCCAUGUGAUAUGCAAUAAACAAGUUAUUUUAUUUUACAUCCAAAUAUAGAAAUUGGUUGUCUUUUAAUGCCAUAUUUGGACUUGGUUUUGGUGGCUCACCACCAAAAUCUGGGCAGUGACUCUACAGCAACGUCAAAGGCAUUUUUAUUGGGAUUUUGCUUGGGUGUCAAACGGCGCCACCAAGGGGCAGUGGAUGACCUUUGUGUCGUCCCAUUUCAACUCUCGAUGGGAGGAUCCAUUCACCCAUUACAACGAAAUUCCAUUGGGUUGAUAACAUAAUUCAAGCCCAAAAUAUAGGUUUCUUAAGAUGUAUCACAUUUUAGGUUUCGGGUGUUUCAAUUUCAGUGAUGAAUAACAAUGAGAAUUUAGCAAUCAAAUUAGAAUAUGAAUCGUCUCAAAAGAUAUAGCAUUUGAGUCUUUGAUGUAGAAGUUGACCACAUCUCAUUCACUACUUACUGCACUUGUAGAAACGUCUUUUUUUUUUUGUUUUGAGGGGUUUGUUUCGAUUUUUUCUUUUACUAUUUUUGGACUACAAGCUUUUAACUGUUCUUCAAAGGUUAGUAGCUAAGAAUCAUUUAUCAUCACCUUUCGUACAGAUACACAAACCCUCAGAUCAAACUUUUAAGUCAAAGUUGCAAUUGAUCUAAUGAAUAUAACAAAGGCAAUUCUAUCCAUAAGAAGUUUGAAUAAUACGUAUUAUUCACUGAGAUUUUUCUUCACAAAUGAUGACGUAACAACCCUAUCCCAACCAAAUUACCUCUCUAAUGAGCAGUACAUUCUUCACCAAGAGGCGGAAAAUGAUGUGAUGAUUUCAAUCUCUAGGGGCCAUUGUUAACUAGUAUUUUCCGAUCUAUAGUGGCUGUGCACGUUUUUCUGUCGGUAUAACACUGCCAGACUACUCAUUCAAAGAGGAAAUUAGUAACCCAAACAUUCAUACGUCGCCAUACAAGGUGGGCCCACGAAAAAUCAAUAGAAAAUAUAACAAUUAGACUCUACAGUCAGCAACACGCAAUUGUUUACUUCGAUGUUCCCAUCAGUCAUUUGCAGUACAGAAAUCGAACCUUCAAAGCAAGAUUCCUUUGUAGAAAACUAUCCCAUGAUUACUCCACAUAAUCCCAAGUUUGAAAUAUUCCAAGCGGCAGCACAGUAGCAAAGUACCCCACUUUGUGCAAGGAACCGUGCAAUAUGAGCACAUGUAUACACAACACGCCUGUCUAUUCAAAUACAGUAACCAGCAAACAAGUAGGUGCAUUGGAAUUGAGAAUCAAGGCAAUGGGGUUGCAAGGCGCGGUUCUACAAUUCAUGAGUCAAAGUCACCACAAAAAUAGGUCACGUGCCAGGAAGUAGAUUCGCUGCCAGGCUGAAGGAACAAGACUUCGUAAGUAGUAAACUAGACCCACUCAGUUGGGCUAACGCUUCACGGUUAAUCGGAGGUUGCGGCACCCUGAUUCAACUCUGCAAAGCGCAUGCUGACUCGCAUAGAAUGCUUCAAGUACUUCUCGGCACACCGCUUGACACAGGUCUCCUC